Molecule: long non-coding RNA, 1071 nt
Filed under: Cyanistes caeruleus (blue tit)
Lineage: Eukaryota; Metazoa; Chordata; Aves; Passeriformes; Paridae
Description: lncRNA (ENSCCEG00000015224.1)
Source: RNAcentral
GUGUGCCAAGCCCCCAUGGGCCGUGCCAAUGCUGCACAGUCUGCUCUGUUGGUGCCCAGAACGAGAUGGUUGUGGGAGGCAGAGCUGGCUGAGCACCUUAGCAAAUCUGCUUUCCCUGGCAGCAUCCUGUGUGCCUGGAGGUGCCCCCAGCCUGCCCUCCCAGGGAUCUGCAGAGGGAACAUGCCCUGCUGGAUGAACAAGAGUCAAGAGCAAUUGAGUUUGGUCCUGGGAUGCCUCAAGGAACUGUGUGAUGGCAUGGAUGUUCUCCUUAACCUUUUCAUCAUCCGUGGGUCCCCUCUCCACUGCCUGCUGCACCAUCCCCAAGCUUGUUCAGGAAACCACUUGCCAAAUCUGUCAGAUCAGCCAGGUGAACUCAUCCUCACUCUUUUGCCUAUGGGGAAAGAAAGAGGUAAUAAAGCUCCUCCAAAACAGACUGAACAGAAGCCAUUAUUUUAUGUCCAGGCCUUGCUGAGUAAUAAUGAUCUGCCUUUAACCACCCACUCGUGCCUCUGUUUAUCCCCCUGUUCGUUCAUGACCUUCACUCAUUGUAUUCUGUUGAAUUGAGCUUGUAUAUUCCUGACACACAGGAGCUGCAUCUUCAUUCAUUUGUGGUAAAUGCCUGAGACACUCAGGGCACUUGAAAUUAAAUAAUCAGCAGUGAAACAAAAGACCCCAAUUGGGCACACAGGCACAUUGUCUGUUUUAUUUGCAGAUAAGUUCUGUCUAAAAGCCAGCAAUGCGUGAUGUUUCUUGCUGCUUUUUCAGUUUAAAGCAGAUGUUGUACACAAUAUUAGAAACCAUAUCCUUGCAGGCUGUGAAGUAAUGAGGGCAAGAAGUGAGAAGUGAAGAGCUGGGAUAUCUCCUGCUUUAUUUAGGUGAGGCUUUGGGGAAGGAAGGAGUGUAGAGUGAGGGCCCUGCAUUUGAGCAAAACGUUCUGUGCUUUUAUGCUUUUUGAGGCUGAGUGUCUGUCCAGUUGAGGAUGAUGUGUGAAAGGGAGGCUACAAAGGGAGGAAGGGAGUGAGGGAAGGAGGGGAAGAAAUAAAGGUUUUAGUGCUCUAAGUUGGAUCUACA